GAUGAACGCUGGCGGCGUGCCUAAUACAUGCAAGUAGAACGCUGAAGGAAGGAGCUUGCUCUUUCCGGAUGAGUUGCGAACGGGUGAGUAACGCGUAGGUAACCUGCCUGGUAGCGGGGGAUAACUAUUGGAAACGAUAGCUAAUACCGCAUAACAGUAGAUGUUGCAUGAUAUCUACUUAAAAGGUGCAAUUGCACCACUACCAGAUGGACCUGCGUUGUAUUAGCUAGUUGGUGAGGUAACGGCUCACCAAGGCGACGAUACAUAGCCGACCUGAGAGGGUGGUCGGCCACACUGGGACUGGGACACGGCCCAAGCUCCUACGGGAGGCAACAGUAGGGAAUCUUCGGCAAUGGGCGGAAAUCUGACCGGACAACGCCGCGGGAGUGAAGGAGGUUUUCGGGUCGUAAAGCUCUGUUGUAAGAGAAAGACGAAUGUGGGAAUGAAAUGUUCACGCUGUGACGGUAUCUAACCAGAAAGGGACGGCUAACUACGUG
This 497-nucleotide ribosomal RNA is filed under the name uncultured bacterium. Its description in RNAcentral is "partial 16S ribosomal RNA". It matches the Rfam family "Bacterial small subunit ribosomal RNA", at positions 28 to 507 of the family's 1533-position model. The record is from RNAcentral.